Molecule: ribosomal RNA, 478 nt
Filed under: uncultured bacterium
Lineage: Bacteria
Description: partial 16S ribosomal RNA
Rfam family: Bacterial small subunit ribosomal RNA
Source: RNAcentral
GAUUAACGCUGGCGGCGUGCAUAACACAUGCAAGUCGAACGAUGAAACUCAUUAGAUUUCUUCGGAAUGAAAAUGAAUGGAUUAGUGGCGAACGGGUGAGUAACGCGUGAGUAACCUGCCUUACACAAGGGGAUAGCCUCUGGAAACGGAGAAUAAUACCCUAUGAAACCAGACAAUCGCAUGAUAAUCUGGUCAAAAUGUUUAGUGGUGUAAGAUGGACUUGCGUCUGAUUAGCUAGUUGGUGAGAUAAAAGCUCACCAAGGCAACGAUCAGUAGCCGGAUUGAGAGAGCGUACGGCCACAUUGGGAGUGAGACACGGCCCAGAUUCCUACGGGAGGCAGCAGUGGGGAAUUUUGCACAAUGGGGGAAACCCUGAUGCAGCGACGCCGCGUGAUUUAGAAGGCCUUCGGGUUGUAAAAAUCUUUUGUAUAGGAAGAAAAUGACAGUACUAUACGAAUAAGGUCCGGCUAAUUACGUG